AGAGUUUGAUCAUGGCUCAGAUUGAACGCUGGCGGAAUGCUUUACACAUGCAAGUCGAACGGCAGCACGGGGGCAACCCUGGUGGCGAGUGGCGAACGGGUGAGUAAUACCUAGGAACAUGUCCAGUAAUGGGGGAUAACGCAGCGAAAGCUGUGCUAAUACCGCAUACGCCCUACGGGGGAAAGCGGGGGAUUCGUAAGAACCUCGCGUUAUUGGAGUGGCCUAGGCCUGAUUAGCUAGUUGGUGAGGUAAAGGCUCACCAAGGCGACGAUCAGUAGCUGGUCUGAGAGGAUGAUCAGCCACACUGGGACUGAGACACGGCCCAGACUCCUACGGGAGGCAGCAGUGGGGAAUUUUGGACAAUGGGGGCAACCCUGAUCCAGCCAUUCCGCGUGAGUGAAGAAGGCCUUCGGGUUGUAAAGCUCUUUUGUCCGGAGCGAAACGGGCGCGGUGAAUAUCCGCGCUACUGACGGUACCGGAAGAAUAAGCACCGGCUAACUACGUGCCAGCCGCCGCGGUAAUACA
This 525-nucleotide ribosomal RNA is filed under the name uncultured Nitrosospira sp. Its description in RNAcentral is "bacterial SSU rRNA". It matches the Rfam family "Bacterial small subunit ribosomal RNA", at positions 8 to 527 of the family's 1533-position model. The record is from RNAcentral. Lineage: Bacteria; Pseudomonadati; Pseudomonadota; Betaproteobacteria; Nitrosomonadales; Nitrosomonadaceae.